CUCUCUCUUCAAAACAUAUAUAUCUUUCGGCGCCAGUCUUUCCUGCCUUACCUUAACCCCGCUUUCACGUGGCGAAUCGGUAUGAGGUUUCAAUGA
This 96-nucleotide ribosomal RNA is filed under the name Triticum aestivum (bread wheat). RNAcentral's name for it is "partial small subunit ribosomal RNA". The record is from RNAcentral. Lineage: Eukaryota; Viridiplantae; Streptophyta; Magnoliopsida; Poales; Poaceae.